Molecule: transfer RNA, 73 nt
Filed under: bacterium
Lineage: Bacteria
Also listed under: 1 other name
Description: tRNA-Arg
Rfam family: tRNA
About the family: Transfer RNA (tRNA) molecules are approximately 80 nucleotides in length. Their secondary structure includes four short double-helical elements and three loops (D, anti-codon, and T loops). Further hydrogen bonds mediate the characteristic L-shaped molecular structure. tRNAs have two regions of fundamental functional importance: the anti-codon, which is responsible for specific mRNA codon recognition, and the 3' end, to which the tRNAs corresponding amino acid is attached (by aminoacyl-tRNA synthetases). tRNAs cope with the degeneracy of the genetic code in two manners: having more than one tRNA (with a specific anti-codon) for a particular amino acid; and 'wobble' base-pairing, i.e. permitting non-standard base-pairing at the 3rd anti-codon position.
Source: RNAcentral
GGCCGCGUAGCUCAGGGGAUAGAGCGACAGCCUCCGGAGCUGUAGGUCGCAGGUUCGAAUCCUGCCGCGGUCG